CAGGCCUAACACAUGCAAGUCGAACGAACUCUUCGGAGUUAGUGGCAGACGGGUGAGUAACGCGUGGGAACCUACCUUUAGGUACGGAACAACAGUUGGAAACGACUGCUAAUACCGUAUGUGCCCUAUGGGGGAAAGAUUUAUCGCCUAAGGAUGGGCCCGCGUUGGAUUAGCUAGUUGGUGGGGUAAAGGCCUACCAAGGCGACGAUCCAUAGCUGGUCUGAGAGGAUGAUCAGCCACACUGGGACUGAGACACGGCCCAGACUCCUACGGGAGGCGGCAGUGGGGAAUAUUGGACAAUGGGCGCAAGCCUGAUCCAGCCAUGCCGCGUGAGUGAUGAAGGCCCUAGGGUUGUAAAGCUCUUUCAGCGAGGAGGAUAAUGACGUUACUCGCAG
RNAcentral lists this ribosomal RNA (395 nucleotides) under uncultured Alphaproteobacteria bacterium. Its description in RNAcentral is "bacterial SSU rRNA". It matches the Rfam family "Bacterial small subunit ribosomal RNA", at positions 43 to 484 of the family's 1533-position model. The record is from RNAcentral. Lineage: Bacteria; Pseudomonadati; Pseudomonadota; Alphaproteobacteria.